Molecule: unclassified non-coding RNA, 217 nt
Filed under: rhizosphere metagenome
Description: partial ribosomal RNA internal transcribed spacer region
Source: RNAcentral
GUAGGUGAACCUGCGGAGGGAUCAUUAUAGAGUUAAACAACUCCUAAACCCUUUGUGAAUCUAUCAAAAGUUCAUUGUUUCUUUGGCAGGCGAUCUCUGGGAGAGGUCUGUGGCCGGUCACGGUGCCUGCCAGAGGGAUGUAAACUCUCUGUAACUCUGGUUGUCUGAGUAUUUACAAAUAAAAUUAAAACUUUCAACAACGGAUCUCUUGGUUCUG